CAGCCGCCGCGGUAAUACGUAGGUGGCAAGCGUUGUCCGGAAUUAUUGGGCGUAAAGGGCUCGCAAGCGGUUUCUUAAGUCUGAUGUGAAAGCCCCCGGCUCAACCGGGGAGGGUCAUUGGAAACUGGGAAACUUGAGUGCAGAAGAGGAGAGUGGAAUUCCACGUGUAGCGGUGAAAUGCGUAGAGAUGUGGAGGAACACCAGUGGCGAAGGCGACUCUCUGGUCUGUAACUGACGCUGAGGAGCGAAAGCGUGGGGAGCGAACAGGAUUAGAUACCCCUGUAGUCCCUGUCUCUUAUAC
RNAcentral lists this ribosomal RNA (301 nucleotides) under uncultured bacterium. RNAcentral's name for it is "partial 16S ribosomal RNA". It matches the Rfam family "Bacterial small subunit ribosomal RNA", at positions 509 to 807 of the family's 1533-position model. The record is from RNAcentral.